GACGAACCGUGCGAACGUUGUUCGGAAUCACUGGGCUUAAAGGGCGCGUAGGCGGGCUGCAAAGUCCGGGGUGAAAUCCUCCCGCUCAACGGGAGAACGGCCUCGGGAUACUUGCGGUCUCGAGGGAGGUAGGGCGUGCGGAACUAUGGGAUGGAGCGGUGAAAUGCGUUGAUAUCCGAUAGGAACUCCGGUGGCGAAGGCGGCACGCUGGACCUUUUCUGACGGCUGAGGCGGCGAAAGCCAGGGGAGCAAACGGG
RNAcentral lists this ribosomal RNA (257 nucleotides) under uncultured bacterium. RNAcentral describes it as "partial 16S ribosomal RNA". It matches the Rfam family "Bacterial small subunit ribosomal RNA", at positions 524 to 776 of the family's 1533-position model. The record is from RNAcentral.